UAAAGCAUAAAAAAAUAGAUUGAUGACAU
This 29-nucleotide small RNA is filed under the name Bombyx mori (domestic silkworm). Its description in RNAcentral is "ovarian small RNA-18319". The record is from RNAcentral. Lineage: Eukaryota; Metazoa; Arthropoda; Insecta; Lepidoptera; Bombycidae.